RNAcentral lists this transfer RNA (51 nucleotides) under Parachtes romandiolae. RNAcentral describes it as "tRNA-Gly". Lineage: Eukaryota; Metazoa; Arthropoda; Arachnida; Araneae; Dysderidae. The record is from RNAcentral.
UCAUAUUAAGUAUUUUAUACUUUUAAUUUCCAAUUAAAAGAAGAGUUUCAU